RNAcentral lists this ribosomal RNA (440 nucleotides) under uncultured bacterium. Its description in RNAcentral is "partial 16S ribosomal RNA". It matches the Rfam family "Bacterial small subunit ribosomal RNA", at positions 338 to 795 of the family's 1533-position model. The record is from RNAcentral.
CCUACGGGAGGCAGCAGUAGGGAAUAUUGCUCAAUGGGGGAAACCCUGAAGCAGCAACGCCGCGUGGAGGAUGAAGGUUUUCGGAUUGUAAACUCCUUUUGUUAGAGAAGAUAAUGACGGUAUCUAACGAAUAAGCACCGGCUAACUCCGUGCCAGCAGCCGCGGUAAUACGGAGGGUGCAAGCGUUACUCGGAAUCACUGGGCGUAAAGAGCGCGUAGGCGGGAUAGCAAGGCAGAUGUGAAAUCCUAGGGCUUAACCAUAGAACUGCAUUUGAAACUGUUAUUCUAGAGUAUGGGAGAGGUAGGUGGAAUUCUUGGUGUAGGGGUAAAAUCCGUAGAGAUCAAGAGGAAUACUCAUUGCGAAGGCGACCUGCUAGAACAUAACUGACGCUGAUGCGCGAAAGCGUGGGGAGCAAACAGGAUUAGAUACCCCAGUAGUC